CUAGUUGGCGGGGUAAAAGCCCACCAAGGCGAUGACGGGUAGCUGGUCUGAGAGGACGACCAGCCACACUGGAACUGAGACACGGUCCAGACACCUACGGGUGGCAGCAGUCGAGAAUUUUUCUCAAUGGGGGGAACCCUGAAGGAGCGACGCCGCGUGGAGGAUGAAGGUCUUCGGAUUGUAAACUCCAGUGUUUGGGAAUUAACACCAGGUUCAACUCACCUGGGACUGAUAGUACCAGAAGAGGAAGAGACGGCUAACUCUGUGCCAGCAGCCGCGGUAAUACAGAGGUCUCAAGCGUUGUUCGGAUUCAUUGGGCGUAAAGGGUGCGUAGGCGGUCGCGCAAGUCGGAUGUGAAAUCUUGGGGCUCAACCCUGAAACUGCAUUCGAUACUGCGUGGCUCGAGUACUGGAGAGGAGACUGGAAUUUACGGUGUAGCAGUGAAAUGCGUAGAUAUCGUAAGGAAGACCAGUGGCGAAGGCGAGUCUCUGGACAGUUACUGACGCUGAGGCACGAAGGCCAGGGGAGCAAACGGGAUU
RNAcentral lists this ribosomal RNA (539 nucleotides) under uncultured bacterium. Its description in RNAcentral is "bacterial SSU rRNA". It matches the Rfam family "Bacterial small subunit ribosomal RNA", at positions 245 to 779 of the family's 1533-position model. The record is from RNAcentral.